UUUCCGUAGGUGAACCUGCGGAAGGAUCAUUACUGAGUGAGGGCCCUCUGGGUCCAACCCCCCACCCGUGUUUAUUGUACCUUGUUGCUUCGGUGCGCCCGCCUCACGGCCGCCGGGGGGCUUCUGCCCCCGGGUCCGCGCGCACCGGGGUCACCAUUGAACUCUGUCUGAAGAUUGCAGUCUGAGCAUAAACUAAAUAAGUUAAAACUUUCAACAACGGAUCUCUUGGUUCCG
This 234-nucleotide unclassified non-coding RNA is filed under the name plant metagenome. RNAcentral's name for it is "partial contains small subunit ribosomal RNA, internal transcribed spacer 1, and 5.8S ribosomal RNA". The record is from RNAcentral.